Molecule: ribosomal RNA, 688 nt
Filed under: Russula sp.
Lineage: Eukaryota; Fungi; Basidiomycota; Agaricomycetes; Russulales; Russulaceae
Description: partial large subunit ribosomal RNA
Rfam family: Eukaryotic large subunit ribosomal RNA
Source: RNAcentral
ACUGCGAGUGAAGCGGGAAAAGCUCAAAUUUAAAAUCUGGUGGUCUUUGGCCAUCCGAGUUGUAAUUUAGAGAAGCGUCUUCCGCGCUGGACCAUGCACAAGUCUCCUGGAAUGGAGCGUCAUAGAGGGUGAGAAUCCCGUCUUUGGCAUGGACCCCAGGGCUUCUGUGAUGCGCUCUCAAAGAGUCGAGUUGUUUGGGAAUGCAGCUCAAAAUGGGUGGUGAACUCCAUCUAAAGCUAAAUAUUGGCGAGAGACCGAUAGCGAACAAGUACCGUGAGGGAAAGAUGAAAAGCACUUUGGAAAGAGAGUGAAACAGUACGUGAAAUUGUUGAAAGGGAAACGCUUGAAGUCAGUCGCGUCGACCGAGACUCAGCCUUGCCUCGGCUUGGUGUACUUCUCGGACCGACGGGUCAGCAUCAAUUUCGAUCCUUGGAUAAUGGCAAGGGAAAGGUGGCACCUUUACAGGUGUGUUAUAGUCCUCUGUCGCAUGCAAGGGUCGGGAUUGAGGAACUCAGCAUGCACCUCAUCGGUGUCGGGGCCUCGGCCUACGUUACGUGCUUAGGAUGCUGGCAUAAUGGCUUUAAACGACCCGUCUUGAAACACGGACCAAGGAGUCUAACAUGCACGCGAGUGUUCGGGUGGAAAACCCGUGCGCGUAAUGAAAGUAAAAGUUGGGACCUCUGUCGUG